This 627-nucleotide ribosomal RNA is filed under the name uncultured Verrucomicrobiota bacterium. Its description in RNAcentral is "bacterial SSU rRNA". It matches the Rfam family "Bacterial small subunit ribosomal RNA", at positions 77 to 693 of the family's 1533-position model. Lineage: Bacteria; Pseudomonadati; Verrucomicrobiota. The record is from RNAcentral.
UAGCAAUACGGUGGAAAGUUCAGUGGCGAACGGGUGCGUAACACGUGGGCAAUCUGCCUUGAAGUGUGGGAUAGCUCGGCGAAAGCCGGAUUAAUACCGCAUGUGGCUACUGGAGACAUCUUCGGGACGCUAAAGGUGGCGCAAGCUACCGCUUUUUGAGGAGCCCGCGGCCUAUCAGCUUGUUGGUGAGGUAACGGCUCACCAAGGCGUUGACGGGUAGCUGGUCUGAGAGGACGACCAGCCACACUGGGACUGAGACACGGCCCAGACACCUACGGGUGGCAGCAGUCGAGAAUUUUUGACAAUGGGGGAAACCCUGAUCGAGCGACGCCGCGUGGAGGAUGAAGGUCUUCGGGUUGUAAACUCCUGUCAUUUGGGAACAAGGCGUAUUUAUUAACUGUAAGUACGUUGAUAGUACCAGAAGAGGAAGAGACGGCUAACUCUGUGCCAGCAGCCGCGGUAAUACAGAGGUCUCAAGCGUUGUUCGGAUUCAUUGGGCGUAAAGGGUGGUGUAGGUGGCGCGCUAAGUCGGGUGGUGAAAUUUCGGAGCUUAACUCCGAAACUGCAUUCGAUACUGGCGUGCUGAGACUGAAAGAGACUGAAUUUCUCGGUGUAGCAAAGGCGAUU